GCGAGGUUGCCCGAGUGGUCCAAGGGGGGUGACUUAAGAUCUCCUAGUCGCUAAGACUGCGUGGGUUCAAACCCCACACCUCGCA
Pleodorina starrii is the source of this 85-nucleotide non-coding RNA. NCBI's taxonomy places the organism in Eukaryota, Viridiplantae, Chlorophyta, Chlorophyceae, Chlamydomonadales, Volvocaceae. The record is from the annotation of a GenBank genome assembly.